Molecule: ribosomal RNA, 962 nt
Filed under: uncultured bacterium
Lineage: Bacteria
Description: bacterial SSU rRNA
Rfam family: Bacterial small subunit ribosomal RNA
Source: RNAcentral
CACAUGCAAGUCGAGGGGCAGCAUCAUCAAAGCUUGCUUUGAUGGAUGGCGACCGGCGCACGGGUGAGUAACACGUAUCCAACCUGCCGACAACACUGGGAUAGCCUUUCGAAAGAAAGAUUAAUACCGGAUGGCAUAGUUUUCCCGCAUGGGAUGAUUAUUAAAGAAUUUCGGUUGUCGAUGGGGAUGCGUUCCAUUAGGCAGUUGGCGGGGUAACGGCCCACCAAACCAACGAUGGAUAGGGGUUCUGAGAGGAAGGUCCCCCACAUUGGAACUGAGACACGGCCCAAACUCCUACGGGAGGCAGCAGUGAGGAAUAUUGGUCAAUGGACGAGAGUCUGAACCAGCCAAGUAGCGUGAAGGAUGACUGCCCUAUGGGUUGUAAACUUCUUUUAUACGGGAAUAAAGUUAGCCACGUGUGGCUUUUUGUAUGUACCGUAUGAAUAAGGAUCGGCUAACUCCGUGCCAGCAGCCGCGGUAAUACGGAGGAUCCGAGCGUUAUCCGGAUUUAUUGGGUUUAAAGGGAGCGUAGGCGGGUUGUUAAGUCAGUUGUGAAAGUUUGCGGCUCAACCGUAAAAUUGCAGUUGAUACUGGCGACCUUGAGUGCAACAGAGGUAGGCGGAAUUCGUGGUGUAGCGGUGAAAUGCUUAGAUAUCACGAAGAACUCCGAUUGCGAAGGCAGCUUACUGGAUUGUAACUGACGCUGAUGCUCGAAAGUGUGGGUAUCAAACAGGAUUAGAUACCCUGGUAGUCCACACAGUAAACGAUGAAUACUCGCUGUUGGCGAUAUACAGUCAGCGGCCAAGCGAAAGCAUUAAGUAUUCCACCUGGGGAGUACGCCGGCAACGGUGAAACUCAAAGGAAUUGACGGGGGCCCGCACAAGCGGAGGAACAUGUGGUUUAAUUCGAUGAUACGCGAGGGACCUUACCCGGGCUUAAAUUGCAACUGACUGAACCGGAAA